GGGUCUGUAGCAUAAAGGUAAUGCAGCGUCCUCAUAAGACGUACUAUUUUGGUUCGAAUCCAUUCAGACCCACCA
Molecule: transfer RNA, 75 nt
Filed under: Thermoproteota archaeon
Lineage: Archaea; Thermoproteati; Thermoproteota
Description: tRNA-Met
Rfam family: tRNA
About the family: Transfer RNA (tRNA) molecules are approximately 80 nucleotides in length. Their secondary structure includes four short double-helical elements and three loops (D, anti-codon, and T loops).
Source: RNAcentral